Molecule: ribosomal RNA, 468 nt
Filed under: uncultured bacterium
Lineage: Bacteria
Description: partial 16S ribosomal RNA
Rfam family: Bacterial small subunit ribosomal RNA
Source: RNAcentral
GACGAACGCUGGCGGCGUGCUUAACACAUGCAAGUCGAACGGAAAGGCCCUGCUUUUGUGGGGUGCUCGAGUGGCGAACGGGUGAGUAACACGUGAGUAACAUGCCCUUGACUUUGGGAUAACUUCAGGAAACUGGGGCUAAUACCGGAUAGGAGCUCCUGCUGCAUGGUGGGGGUUGGAAAGUUUCGGCGGUUGGGGAUGGACUCGCGGCUUAUCAGCUUGUUGGUGGGGUAGUGGCUUACAAAGGCUUUGACGGGUAGCCGGCCUGAGAGGGUGACCGGCCACAAUGGGACUGAGAUACGGCCCAGACUCCUACGGGAGGCAGCAGUGGAGAAUAUUGCACAAUGGGCGGAAGCCUGAUGCAGCAACGCCGCGUGCGGGAUGACGGCCUUCGGGUUGUAAACCGCUUUCGCCUGUGACGAAGCGUGAGUGACGGUAAUGGGUAAAGAAGCACCGGCUAACUACGUG